Molecule: ribosomal RNA, 496 nt
Filed under: uncultured bacterium
Lineage: Bacteria
Description: partial 16S ribosomal RNA
Rfam family: Bacterial small subunit ribosomal RNA
Source: RNAcentral
AUGAACGCUGGCGGCGUGCCUAAUACAUGCAAGUCGAGCGAACAGACGAGGAGCUUGCUCCUCUGACGUUAGCGGCGGACGGGUGAGUAACACGUGGAUAACCUACCUAUAAGACUGGGAUAACUUCGGGAAACCGGAGCUAAUACCGGAUAAUAUAUUGAACCGCAUGGUUCAAUAGUGAAAGACGGUUUUGCUGUCACUUAUAGAUGGAUCCGCGCCGCAUUAGCUAGUUGGUAAGGUAACGGCUUACCAAGGCGACGAUGCGUAGCCGACCUGAGAGGGUGAUCGGCCACACUGGAACUGAGACACGGUCCAGACUCCUACGGGAGGCAGCAGUAGGGAAUCUUCCGCAAUGGGCGAAAGCCUGACGGAGCAACGCCGCGUGAGUGAUGAAGGUCUUCGGAUCGUAAAACUCUGUUUUUAGGGAAGAACAAAUGUGUAAGUAACUAUGCACGUCUUGACGGUACCUAAUCAGAAAGCCACGGCUAACUACGUG